GAUGAACGCUGGCGGCGUGCCUAAUACAUGCAAGUCGAGCGAACAGACGAGGAGCUUGCUCCUCUGACGUUAGCGGCGGACGGGUGAGUAACACGUGGAUAACCUACCUAUAAGACUGGGAUAACUUCGGGAAACCGGAGCUAAUACCGGAUAAUAUAUUGAACCGCAUGGUUCAAUAGUGAAAGACGGUUUUGCUGUCACUUAUAGAUGGAUCCGCGCCGCAUUAGCUAGUUGGUAAGGUAACGGCUUACCAAGGCAACGAUGCGUAGCCGACCUGAGAGGGUGAUCGGCCACACUGGAACUGAGACACGGUCCAGACUCCUACGGGAGGCAGCAGUAGGGAAUCUUCCGCAAUGGGCGAAAGCCUGACGGAGCAACGCCGCGUUAGUGAUGAAGGUCUUCGGAUCGUAAAACUCUGUUAUUAGGGAAGAACAAAUGUGUAAGUAACUAUGCACGUCUUGACGGUACCUAAUCAGAAAGCCACGGCUAACUACGUG
This 497-nucleotide ribosomal RNA is filed under the name uncultured bacterium. Its description in RNAcentral is "partial 16S ribosomal RNA". It matches the Rfam family "Bacterial small subunit ribosomal RNA", at positions 28 to 507 of the family's 1533-position model. The record is from RNAcentral.